UACGAAGGGGGCUAGCGUUGCUCGGAAUUACUGGGCGUAAAGGGCGCGUAGGCGGUUCAUACAGUCAGAUGUGAAAUUCCUGGGCUCAACCUGGGGGCUGCAUUUGAUACGUGUGGACUAGAGUGGGGAAGAGGGUCGUGGAAUUCCCAGUGUAGAGGUGAAAUUCGUAGAUAUUGGGAAGAACACCGGUGGCGAAGGCGGCGACCUGGUCCUUGACUGACGCUGAGGCGCGAAAGCGUGGGGAGCAAACAGG
This 253-nucleotide ribosomal RNA is filed under the name uncultured bacterium. Its description in RNAcentral is "partial 16S ribosomal RNA". It matches the Rfam family "Bacterial small subunit ribosomal RNA", at positions 524 to 776 of the family's 1533-position model. The record is from RNAcentral.